GGGGGCAAUGGUACCGUAACUUCGGGAGAAGGUACUCUGCCGACGGUGAUAGGAUUUACUCCUUGAGCUAUUGGCAGCCACAGAAACCAGGCCCCUGCAACUGUUUAUUAAAAACAUAGCACUCUGCAAACACGAAAGUGGACGUAUAGGGUGUGAUGCCUGCCCGGUGCUGGAAGGUUAAUUGAUGGGGUUAGCGUAAGCGAAGCUCUUGAUCGAAGCCCCAGUAAACGGCGGCCGUAACUAUAACGGUCCUAAGGUAGCGAAAUUCCUUGUCGGGUAAGUUCCGACCUGCACGAAUGGCAUAAUGAUGGGGGCGCUGUCUCCAGCAGAGACUCAGUGAAAUCGAAUUCGCCGUGAAGAUGCGGUGUACCCGCGGCUAGACGGAAAGACCCCGUGAACCUUUACUGCAGCUUGACAUUGAACUUUGAUCUUACUUGUGUAGGAUAGGUGGGAGGCUUUGAAACCGAGACGCUAGUUUCGGUGGAGCCAAUCUUGAAAUACCACCCUGGUAAUAUUGAGGUUCUAACUCUGUCCCGUUAUCCGGGACGAGGACCAUGUCUGGUGGGUAGUUUGACUGGGGCGGCCUCCUCCUAAAGAGUAACGGAGGAGUACGAAGGUGCGCUCAGCGUGGUCGGAAAUCACGCGUAGAGUAUAAAGGCAAAAGCGCGCUUAACUGCGAGACCCACAAGUCGAGCAGGUACGAAAGUAGGUCUUAGUGAUCCGGUGGUUCUGUAUGGAAGGGCCAUCGCUCAACGGAUAAAAGGUACUCUGGGGAUAACAGGCUGAUACCGCCCAAGAGUUCAUAUCGACGGCGGUGUUUGGCACCUCGAUGUCGGCUCAUCUCAUCCUGGGGCUGAAGCAGGUCCCAAGGGUAUGGCUGUUCGCCAUUUAAAGAGGUACGCGAGCUGGGUUUAGAACGUCGUGAGACAGUUCGGUCCCUAUCUACCGUGGGCGUUGGAAAUUUGAGAGGAUCUGCUCCUAGUACGAGAGGACCAGAGUGGACGAACCUCUGGUGUACCGGUUGUGACGCCAGUCGCAUCGCCGGGUAGCUAUGUUCGGAAGGGAUAACCGCUGAAAGCAUCUAAGCGGGAAGCCUACCUCAAGAUAAGAUUUCCCUAGGACUUUAUGUCCUCUAAAGAGCCGUUGAAGACUACGACGUUGAUAGGUUGGAUGUGGAAGCACAGUGAUAUGUGAAGCUGACCAAUACUAAUUGCUCGUGAGGCUUGACU
RNAcentral lists this ribosomal RNA (1229 nucleotides) under metagenome. Its description in RNAcentral is "bacterial LSU rRNA". It matches the Rfam family "Bacterial large subunit ribosomal RNA", at positions 1715 to 2925 of the family's 2925-position model. The record is from RNAcentral.